GGUGAGAUGGCCGAGUGGUCUAAGGCGCUAGAUUUAGGUACCUACUUAUCUCUAGUCAUUCGUGGCGUGGGUUCAAAUCCCACUCUCAUCA
This is a transfer RNA of 91 nucleotides. It matches the Rfam family "tRNA". From Rfam's summary of the family: Transfer RNA (tRNA) molecules are approximately 80 nucleotides in length. Their secondary structure includes four short double-helical elements and three loops (D, anti-codon, and T loops). Further hydrogen bonds mediate the characteristic L-shaped molecular structure. tRNAs have two regions of fundamental functional importance: the anti-codon, which is responsible for specific mRNA codon recognition, and the 3' end, to which the tRNAs corresponding amino acid is attached (by aminoacyl-tRNA synthetases). tRNAs cope with the degeneracy of the genetic code in two manners: having more than one tRNA (with a specific anti-codon) for a particular amino acid; and 'wobble' base-pairing, i.e. permitting non-standard base-pairing at the 3rd anti-codon position. The record is from Rfam.